This is a long non-coding RNA of Patiria miniata (bat star), 701 nucleotides long. RefSeq lists it as uncharacterized. The record is from RefSeq and is a predicted model, not a curated record. The transcript has 3 exons. NCBI's taxonomy places the organism in Eukaryota, Metazoa, Echinodermata, Asteroidea, Valvatida, Asterinidae.
UUUACACAAAGCAACUUUAUCUGAACAAUACUUAGUGCAAUGCUUUCGUCGUUGUAAGUGGCCCGGGUGCUAGACGUGAUAGCAAGCCUGGAUUGGUCAAUACACCAAUCCGAUUUGAAAUUAAGCUGGCAGUCUGGCCAUUACUGGGACGCUUCCAUGCCUGAACGCCAGUCACACGUGCGUUUUGUAUAUCUCGGAACACAUCACUCAAGGGGAGUGUAUUGUGUGAAAUACCGCAGCGAGCUUUGGAGCCUCCCAGUAAUAGUGAAAAUCCGCCCCAGUAAUCACAAAGGGUCUGCAACUAUGAUUGGUCUAUACAGUGACUGGGCUGACACACAGUUUUGUUGAAUAAUUCAGGAAUAAAGGGGAUAUUGACCAACUGCCCUCGUGAACAUCCAAAGCUUACUUAAUUGGUUUAAGAGCCUGCAGGAUCUUACGAUGUGUAAAACCUGGACUUCUGGACAUAGCAUGAAAUAUCAUCCCCAAAAUAGCUACUGCCAACUGAUAUGAGACAACGUCUUGGUAUCUCGACCUUUGACAUUGACACGCCAACCUCAUCUGCAUGAGCACAUAAACUCAGACUGGUGGCUUUGAUAAUGUGAUGAAGAUAACUUCUUGUGAACGCACGAACCAUCUGAAAUGAAUCGGAACAAUCACGAAAUACCUCUGGAGUGGAUCGCUACGAAUACAGUCAAGGAAAC